ACUGGAGGACCAAGAAGGCUGAGUCUGAUGGAGUAAGACUUUGCGGAUAUACUCCUCCUAGACAAAGGGGUGGAGAGAACCACAGGGCUGACUGUACUACCCAACAUUU
Molecule: non-coding RNA, 109 nt
Organism: Chionomys nivalis (European snow vole)
Lineage: Eukaryota; Metazoa; Chordata; Mammalia; Rodentia; Cricetidae
Product: small Cajal body-specific RNA 4
Exons: 1
Source: RefSeq, a predicted model, not a curated record